UCCAGACUCCUACGGGAGGCAGCAGUGGGGGAUAUUGCACAAUGGGGGGAACCCUGAUGCAGCGACGCCGCGUGGGUGAAGGAGCGUUUCGGCGCGUAAAGCCCUAUCGGCAGGGAAGAAGGAGGACGGUACCUGACUAAGAAGCCCCGGCUAACUACGUGCCAGCAGCCGCGGUAAUACGUAGGGGGCAAGCGUUAUCCGGAUUUACUGGGUGUAAAGGGGGCGCAGACGGCAGCGCAAGCCAGGAGUGAAAGCCCGGGGCCCAACCCCGGGACUGCUCUUGGAACUGCGCGGCUGGAGUGCAGGAGGGGCAGGCGGAAUUCCUGGUGUAGCGGUGAAAUGCGUAGAUAUCAGGAGGAACACCGGUGGCGAAGGCGGCCUGCUGGACUGCGACUGACGUUGAGGCCCGAAAGCGUGGGGAACAAACAGGAUUAGAUACCCGAGUAC
RNAcentral lists this ribosomal RNA (447 nucleotides) under uncultured bacterium. Its description in RNAcentral is "partial 16S ribosomal RNA". It matches the Rfam family "Bacterial small subunit ribosomal RNA", at positions 330 to 793 of the family's 1533-position model. The record is from RNAcentral.